AUGAGAAGUACUGAACAAGGGCCUUCUGUGAAGCCCUUUUGGUAUUAUUGGCAAUUGAAAUGCAUAAUUCUGUUACUUAACUAUCAGUUUGUGAACAAUGAGACAUCACAUAGAACAUAUUUAGCUGGACUUGUUUUUUGCUUCAUGAUCCGUACUGAUAAUCCUAGUUUAUUCAAAUUUCAUAAAAGAAGCUUCAGUUAUCAAUCAUUUCUACAGCGCACUGUGUCCAUAUGUUUGCUAAUUGUUUUCGUUCUUCAUUCUUGUAAGAACACAAUAGUGCAGUGUGGACUAUAUGUCUUUGUCUAA
Molecule: ribosomal RNA, 306 nt
Filed under: Triticum aestivum (bread wheat)
Lineage: Eukaryota; Viridiplantae; Streptophyta; Magnoliopsida; Poales; Poaceae
Description: partial small subunit ribosomal RNA
Source: RNAcentral